GUAAUUGACUCUCACGUUAGAGUGAUGAAGAAGAGACUGAUAUUAUCCUCAUUUUAAAUGUGAAAGGCUUUAGAGUCUUCUUACGGAAUUCUCUCUAAAUUGACUAGCAAAUGUGGAGCAGCUGAUUUAUAUGUUCUUAAAACGAUUAAGAAAGGCAGUAUUUCUUACCUGGUCGUAAGAAUCGUAUCAGUACUAGUUAAAAAUACUGAUGAUCAAGCCCUUUGAUUGGAGAGCCUUGUUUGGUGCUUUCACCAAAUGCCCAUGCGAAUCUUAUGGUCUCUUGGAUUAUAAUGAAGAAGCUGAGACCCAGGGUUGGAGGCAGGUUGGACUCCGUCAGGAUCUGCCCUGACAGCAUGCUCAGCCUGCUAAGUCCUGCAGACUCUGGACCCUGCGCACCCACUUUCUGUGGCUUGGGUACAGAAGAGGAUAAAACAAGCUGUGGGCUGAUCUUGUCUUGAGUCCUUUAUAACAGUAACUUUUCAAGCUGAUCAAAAGCAUGAGCAAGUUGAUUUAUUUCCCUGUGCAUUUACACCCUACAAAUUCAAAUAGCCAUGCUUUACAUGGUCACAGAUCCAUAGCAACCUCUCUGCCUUUCUUCCAUAUUUUCUUCCCGGUAUAAAAUAAUUCUUUGUUUUUUUGAUGGACAAGAAGCUAGAGUAUUUCACCUUCAAGUGAGAAACCUACAUGUAAACAACUUCCUCCAAUCCCUGCUUGACCUUCUCCCCCUCUGCAUUUAACUAUUUAUUUUCCUCUCUCUGAGAGGAUGAUAAUAUUCCUACAUUCCCUCUGGCUUCAGAAGUUUUGCUAAUAGUUAUUUGUGGUCGCGGAUUAUUGCUGCUGCCUAAAACAUUUCUUUGGUAUUUGCUGUUUGAAGAUACUUAGAAAAGGAUUUUCAAGUCAUGGAACAAAACCUUCAACGGAAUGUAAAAUGAAAUAGGAUGUUCAAAUGUGCAGUGGGCUGAAGUACAGUAUUUGCCAUCAGGGCAUGGGAAAGCCUGCGGGUUGACUAAAAAUGUAGCCCCAAGCAGCGUAACAUGAGGUUCUUUAUUCACUCCAGUGUGAGGCACAGUAAUGAAAAAAGAAAAGCGCUCUUCUAAAUGCAGAAGGGGGAUUGACCCAUACUUUCCUUAAGGAAGAAUAGCAAAUAACAAUAGGUUUCUUUGAUGAUAAUUGCUGAAGGUGAUAUGCAAAUUGCUGAUAGUUCCACUGGCACUAGGGACGAUCACAACCUCCUCACAGGGGAAAUGCAGACUUUGGAAUUAGCCUGGAUUUUAGUCUCCGUCAUUUUGCAGCUGGGCAUACUCAGUCUAGUCAUUUAACCCCUUUGUAUCAUCUGGUGUUUGUUCUUCACUCGCAAGAUGGUGGCGAGAGAAUGGGAAAGGGUUUGAAAUUUAAGUGAGUUUAGUUUGUAACUUGCAUGUGUUUUUGGAAAGCAAUUUGUGCAUCCCUUUAUCCUUGUCUGUCAUUAUGACAGGUAUUUUGGAAAUGAAAAUACUUGAGUAAUAAAUAUACUUCUAUAACUGGAUGCAAGAAGGCUCUUACUAGAUUAUCAGCACCUUUAGGACAGGGACCAUCUCUUGUUCUUGUAAUUUGUGACAACUAGAAAACUUCUCUUACGGAACGUGUGCUUAGUCAAUUUUUCACAAAUUAUAGUCCUUUGGAAAAGUUCUAAGGGAACAAAUUAUACUUCUAUUGGUUUCCAGAUUCCUGAGAACACCCAUGUGUUGCAGAAUUAUUAGAAUUUCAUGGUAGAAUCCAACUACACAACAUCUUUUUCUACUACUUUUGUUAAAUUUGGUAAAGAGGUUUUUAUUAGAUAGGGUAGUCU
This is a long non-coding RNA of Equus asinus (donkey), 1828 nucleotides long. Lineage: Eukaryota; Metazoa; Chordata; Mammalia; Perissodactyla; Equidae. The record is from Ensembl.